This 229-nucleotide long non-coding RNA is filed under the name Elaeis guineensis (African oil palm). Its description in RNAcentral is "long non-coding RNA (EGUI_LNC010159)". The record is from RNAcentral. Lineage: Eukaryota; Viridiplantae; Streptophyta; Magnoliopsida; Arecales; Arecaceae.
UUGGAGGCAUCUUUUCUGUUAAGAUGAAGUUUUCUUCUGGAUCCUUGUCCUGAGAUGACUCUUUGGCUUACUUGGGUUUUCCAACUAGUCUUUCUUGACUUCGAGUAUUCCACGUUUAUUCUUCGAGCCAUCAAUUUUUGUCGCGGGCUCCUCAUCAUCUAUUCUGGAUGAAUUGAAUUGACAGGGAAGGACAUAUUGGUAUAUGCUCAAACCCAAACCAUUGAUACAC